This 333-nucleotide unclassified non-coding RNA is filed under the name soil metagenome. RNAcentral describes it as "partial contains 5.8S ribosomal RNA, internal transcribed spacer 2, and large subunit ribosomal RNA". The stretch from base 1 to 120 matches the Rfam family "5.8S ribosomal RNA", at positions 35 to 154 of the family's 154-position model. The record is from RNAcentral.
GAUGAAGAACGUAGUGAAAUGCGAUAAGUAAUGUGAAUUGCAGAAUUCAGUGAAUCAUCGAAUCUUUGAACGCACAUUGCGCCCGCCAGUAUUCUGGCGGGCAUGCCUGUUCGAGCGUCAUUUCAACCAUCAAGCCCCCGGCUUGUGUUGGGGACCUGCGGCUGCCGCAGGCCCUGAAAACCAGUGGCGGGCUCGCUAGUCACUCCGAGCGUAGUAAUACAUCUCGCUCAGGGCGUGCUGCGGGUUCCGGCCGUUAAAAGCCUUAUUUACCCAAGGUUGACCUCGGAUCAGGUAGGAAGACCCGCUGAACUUAAGCAUAUCAAAAGCGGAGGA